AGAGAAUCCAGGCCACAUUUGAGAUGUUUGGGGCAGGACUUUAGGUGAAGUUUGUGACCACUCAAUAAAUCUCAGAGUCAGAGUUAAAUCUCAGCAUGUAUAACAGAAGAUCCUAUAAGGCUGAGGAAGAUGAAUGAUCACCCAAUCUACUAGAGACAGCUAAAUAACUUUGAGGUAUUAUUCUACUGAGGACUGCUUGGGACGGUGAAGCUUCUCUGCUUACUCCCCUUCGAGGGCAGCUGAGACAUAUGAGGCACAACAUCAAGAACAGCAAUAAAAAUGUAUCAUCUUGUCAAAGCACCUCAUGUUUGCUACAAUAUACCACCUCUAAAAGUUUUCCAUAUUUAUGACUGAGUGCAGGCUUUCAGGAACGACAAAAC
Molecule: non-coding RNA, 380 nt
Organism: Pelodiscus sinensis (Chinese soft-shelled turtle)
Lineage: Eukaryota; Metazoa; Chordata; Testudines; Trionychidae
Source: RefSeq, a predicted model, not a curated record